UGCACGCAUGACUGUAAGUCGCUUUGGAUAAAAGCGUUUGCUAAUUGGCUUAUA
Salmo salar (Atlantic salmon) is the source of this 54-nucleotide non-coding RNA. The record is from Rfam. NCBI's taxonomy places the organism in Eukaryota, Metazoa, Chordata, Actinopteri, Salmoniformes, Salmonidae.